Molecule: ribosomal RNA, 385 nt
Filed under: grassland soil clone saf3_002
Lineage: Bacteria
Description: bacterial SSU rRNA
Rfam family: Bacterial small subunit ribosomal RNA
Source: RNAcentral
GGGUUAGUGGCGAACGGGUGAGUAACACGUGGGUAACCUGCCUCGUAGUGGGGAAUAACUCGCCGAAAGGCGAGCUAAUACCGCAUAACACCCUCGGUGAGAAUCCGAGUGGUAAAAUGCUCCGGCGCUACGAGAGGGGCCCGCGGCCGAUUAGCUUGUUGGUGGGGUAACGGCCUACCAAGGCNACGAUCGGUAGCUGGUCUGAGAGGAUGGUCAGCCACACGGGGACUGAGAUACGGCCCCGACUCCUACGGGAGGCAGCAGCUAAGAAUCUUGCGCAAUGGGCGAAAGCCUGACGCAGCAAUUCCGCGUGGGGGACGAAGGCCCUCGGGUCGUAAACCCCUUUUGUGAGGGAAGAAGUUCUGACGGUACCUCACGAAUAAGA